GAUGAACGCUGGCGGCGUGCUUAACACAUGCAAGUCGAACGGAAAGGCUCCUGCUUGCAGGGGUACUCGAGUGGCGAACGGGUGAGUAACACGUGGGUGAUCUGCCCUGCACUUCGGGAUAAGCCUGGGAAACUGGGUCUAAUACCGGAUAGGACGAUGGUUUGGAUGCCAUUGUGGAAAGUUUUUCGGUGUGGGAUGAGCUCGCGGCCUAUCAGCUUGUUGGUGGGGUAAUGGCCUACCAAGGCGUCGACGGGUAGCCGGCCUGAGAGGGUGUACGGCCAAAUUGGGCCUGAAGUACGGCCCAAACCCCUACGGGGGGCAGCAGUGGGGAAUUUUGCACAAGGGGCGAAAGCCUGAUGCAGCGACGCCGCGUGGGGGAUGACGGCCUUCGGGUUUUAACCUCCUUUCGCUGGGGACGAAGCGCAAGUACCGGUACCUGGAGAAGAGGCCCCGGCUAACUACGU
This 464-nucleotide ribosomal RNA is filed under the name uncultured bacterium. Its description in RNAcentral is "partial 16S ribosomal RNA". It matches the Rfam family "Bacterial small subunit ribosomal RNA", at positions 28 to 506 of the family's 1533-position model. The record is from RNAcentral.